RNAcentral lists this long non-coding RNA (11384 nucleotides) under Gallus gallus (chicken). Lineage: Eukaryota; Metazoa; Chordata; Aves; Galliformes; Phasianidae. The record is from RNAcentral.
CACCGCCGUUGCCAUGGCGGCGGCGCGGUCUGCUCGGAGCGGGCCGGGACGCCGCGCCCUGUGACCCCUCCCGGAGGCAGAGGAUGGCUGAGGUUGGAAAGCGCCUCCGGAGGUCAUGGAAUCCGCCCUCCUGCUCCCCUAGAGCGCGCUGUCCGGCACUGUGUCCAGGGAAGGAGAUUCCGUGGCCCUCUGCCGUCCGCCCCACACUGAGGCCUGAAAGAUUCCCCUUCCCAAGUGGCGCUGCGCGCACACUUCUGCUUUGCGUCCUUCCAGUCAAAGCUGUGUGACCCCCUGGGCUGCCUGUGACGGCCCGCUGUUCGGCGUCCCCCAGCCUUCCACCGAUGGCCAAAAGGCUCGAGAAAGCAGGAGCGUGCCCUGCCUGGGAGGAAGCACCAGGUGUGCCACGUGUGGGACGGGGCCUGAGGGGACGGCGUGGAGCUGUGCCAGGGGAGGGCCGGGGGGUCAGGGAAAGGCUGUGAUUUUUUUGUGCUUUGAAACGUGAGAAAUAGCGGAAUACGUGCCAUAAUAUUUAACUCUUUAACAAAUUUUAAUCACAUUCAGAUAUUGAGAAUGAAAAGAAAGUGAAGCAUUCAGCUUUCCGAAGCAUUCAGCUCUGUGAAUAUACAUGAAUUAACCAGCACAGUGCAGGUAUAAUGGAAGGGCUUCCUGGUCAUUCUGGAGCAUCAGCAGCUGUACCUGGAUGUGAAUUGCACUGUGAUACAGAUAAGUUUUGCAUUAAUACUAUCCAUUUUUCAAUGUGUAAUGUUUUCAUAUUCAUACAAGUGAAGGGUUUAUGUUUUUGCUUGGUAUGUGUAACAGACACAUAUAACAGUUGCCUUAAAAACCUGUUGUUUGUCAAGAAAAAUUAGUUGAUCCGUUGAUCUGAAGUCACUCAUCUUGUUGAACCCAUUGCAAAGGGGCUCAGACUGAGGAAGCAGCUUCUGCCUCUUGCUGUACUGUUAGACUUGCUAGGUAAUUCUGGACACAUUGCUUAACCUUCCCAAAUCUGAGUUUAAUGAGCUGGAUAUGCACUUGAGCUCUGUGAAUGAGAAGUGUUUCAGUUUGAGUUCUAAUCCUCCGUUCAUCAGUUGACAGAAUGCUUCCACUGUGUUUCCUUAUGUAGCGAGGUGUUCUCUGCUCUGAGAUAAACUUGCCUUUAUUUAGGAGACCUGAAGGAAAAACGAACAAACAAACAAAUGAUGCAUUUGCUAAUUUUUCUGAGAUUAAACAUUCAGUAGAACUCAACAAAUAUGUUUACUAGUUUAAUUGGAUUACAUUAAUAUACAUCCCCACAGCUUUUAUUACAUAAGCCCUUUUCUACCAGGGAUUUAGUCUAUUAGUUAAGGAAACCUGAGGGAUUAAUCUGAUAGCUGCAGUCAGAAAUUACAGUGUAAUUAAAGUCACCCAGGAAACAGUGAUACUGAAGUCUGCCAAUCCCUGCAAAACAAACUUGUCAAUUUUCUGCAUCUAGGAUAGCAUAUAAGGUGACACAUUAAAGGGGCACAAGUUCUGCACCAGAAAUAGGCCUGUUAAGGAGGAACUUGUGUACUGCACAGUGUAGCCAUCGCUGUUCUUGCUACCAACUACUGCUGUCUGUUUUUGAAUAGACUUUAAAGGUUUUGGUGUUUUAUUAAAGGUCAUGUACAGUGUGGGAGAGGAAGUAUAACACGGCUUGCACGGAAGUCUAUUUUAAAGCUUACUUUACUAAUUUAGUUGGACCGAGAUGUUACUUCAUGUCCAAAAGAAGAUAGAAAAUGCAAUGGCUGUAAAGAAGAAAGUUGCAGAGCACUGGAGCAGCCUUGUUAGUAGCAGGGAGAGACGUUUUGUCAUGGUCUGUACUUGUCAGUGUCAUUUGCUGCAAGCAGGGUAAUGGAGAGCAUGCAUCGGUGCAUGAGUGGAGGAGGAGAUCUGUUGUCUUCAUGAAUGGCAUCAAGGAACAGCACAGCAUUCCAGAAAUUCUGCAGAGUGUCAGUACUUGUGAUGUGUUUGAGCCAUUCUAAUAGCAUAAUAUACGCAGGAGAGAUUUAAUUUCACUAUAUCCAAAAUACACAGCAUUUGGUAUUUCUUUUGUUCUAUGAGACAUAAGUCUAAUGAUGCAUAUUCUAGUUAGUGCAACUUGCUAUCAAGGUUGUAAAGAAAUAAGCAACAAGAAGAAAAUAACGUAUGUAUUUUUUCUGUUGUCAGAGUAGACUUGUAUAUAUACUUCACAGCUUUGUCUUCUUGCUCUAAGUUGUAAAGUAACCUUCACAUAACAUUGUGUAAAUGGAAAAGUUCUCUGCCAGAAAGCUAAAGCCCAAUAUCUGUUGCUUGCAAAGCCACAGAGGGAACUACCCAUUGUUUCCUAGGAGGAGAUGGUGCAGCGACUUGCUGUGGCUUUAGCAAGAGGGCAAGGCUUUGUGAUAGAAGAACCUUGCAAUUAUCCUCUCUCAGCAGAGAGGGGAACUUGAUGACAUCAUUGUUUUUUCCCUGUGAAAACGCUUAGUUGGAAAAAGACAAAAAAAGAUUCAAUGAAUCACAUGCAACAUCCCACUUGGAAUCUUUGAAUAAUCCCAAAGAGUGCCAUUCACUGCAACAAUCAAAAUGUAAGCCAAGAGAGUUCUGCAGCAUUGCUUUUUGCCCACUGGCCUUCAUCUGCAGAAGAUACAUCGGUGAGGUAAUAGUGGUCUUUCUAAUGCAAAAGAGUGAGGGACGAUUUGUUGAGCCACAUUCCCUGAAGAAAGAAGGCUUAUGUGCACAGAUUCUGUCUGGCCCAACAGCCAGCACUAGAACAUGGAAUCCCAUUGGGCAAUUCACUUCAGUAUGAAAAAGAGAAGACUCCAGUUUUCUGUCAGGACUGUCAGCUGAAGGGCUGAGCCUAACAGCUGUUCUGUGUAAGAGUUUGAACUCAACUGUUUCAUUUUCUCUCCUUCACAGCCGUAUUACUGGAAGAGGAGAAUGUGCCAAAAGGUGUUUUGCUCAAUGAAAAAGUGCAGUAAAUUUGAGCCGUAUCAGGUCUGUGCCGCUGGAGAAAUAUGCUUUCCUUUUUUAAAGUGUAUGGAAUCCUACAACUUCCUUUCUGUUUCUUGGUUUUCUUAACAUAACAGUGGCAGCAGCAUUGGCUUCUGUAGAAUGUCAAUAGAAGUUAUGCUUCAGAUCCAGAUGUGCAGAGGAAGAAGACUUUCCUUCCACAGCUCUGUGGGUCCUUCUAGCUGUUACAUACCGACCUGUCACAGAGGGGGUUCUGUGAGUCCUCCCUAAUUCAUAUUAAGCACAAUUGGGCAGAUUUUAUUAAGCAGUUUAAAAUCCUGUUCUGACAUACGGCAUCUGGUUUUGCAUCACUUGAAUUAGCAAUGCUCCCACAAGCUCUUCUCUUAGCACAUCUGAAGAGUGUUAACCCUAUCCACUGGCACUGCUAGAUGGAAAAGAAAUCAUCUGUAUGUGACCUGAAGCCCUGUUGCCAAUGCACAGGCAUAUAGCAUUGUGGACGUGGCUACAGCCUGUACAGAAGAGAAUAUAAUUCUAUUUGGAGGGCUUGACUAUUCAAGCUCUGUGAACAGGAAGAAAAGGGCUGACUCAUAUAACAAGCCAACGUCAAUGAGCAGAAUCACAUUUUAAAUGAGGUCACUUAAACAAGUGGUUUCUUAUACUGAGAAAAAUUACAGGUAGAUUGAAAUGGUGUGUUUAAAGUACUGCUUGGUGGUUGGGGGCACUAAGGAAUCUAUUCCAAGUGUGGAAAAAAGCCUUCACCACAUAUGCACUGGAGGUCUUAAGAAGAAGGGAUAGUUGGAGUGUAAGGGAUAAUCUUGAGCUGUGAAUGGCAUGAGCAAACAUUUAGGGAAGCCUAGCUCUGUAUGGUAGGAAAGUCUCAGGGAGAUGAGCCAGUACAUCUGUGAGCAAUGGAAUCAGCGAAGCCUGGUUUCCAAUGGGUAUGUGUCCCAUUCUGGGCUCUUUCACAUCUAAUCCGGUGCAAGAUGUGAUCCAAGCUUUUCCCGUGGCCUGGAUGGUCUUUGUGUCUGUCGUAGGACAUCGUCUAGUGAGUAGGGAUUUGGUACAUCUUUUCCCAUGGUUGGAAGUGCUGUUUGGGUCUCUUCUUCCCAGUUGGCUGCCCAUGUCUGCUAAACUUGCAACAAAUUUCUAUCUUGAAUUCUUUACUUUGCUUAGAAAUUUAUUUGAAAAGCACACAUUGGAUUCAAAAGUUAUUUAAAGGGGAAGUGAAAACAGGAGAAUAUGCACUCAUACACCAAAUGCAACGGCAUAGGCCUUUUGCCUUAAGAAAUUGAAACGUUAGAAGAAGGUAUUUCUGCCUACAGAUAUGGUGGUUUCCAGCACUGGUGGUGAUGUCACUUCAGAUGAGGGGGAGAUGGGGAGAGGAGAGGGUUUGGAAUAGAAGGGGUGAAUGGAAGCAUCACUAAAACCUGCUUUCGCUCUGUGACCUUUGAAGUUGUUCCGUGCAGAGCUGGCAUACAAUAUUUCAACACUGUACUCUUGUGGUAGGUUCAUUUGUCAAUUUUUAUUUAUUUAUUUAUUUAUUUAUUUAUUUAUUUCAACUUAGUUAUUUACUGGGUGAGAAAAUGUAUAGUUAAAACCCAGAUUUAGUCUAAAUGUAUGUACAGAUUAACUUUUUUUAAUUGACUGUUUGUUAGGCUGGCAUUACUGGUAUGAUUUGUUUUGUUUAACCUGUUUGUCAUUCCAAAGUAAUAUAUAUUUUCUUUUCUAAGAGGAAUUUGCACUGGUAUGUAUGGGAACACAAAAUCCAAUACAAGUCUAUGAAACAAUCUACCCAAACGUGUAUCUAAAUCCAUUUGAAUAGGCACAUUUUGUGACCUGGAGAGAUUUUCUGUAGUUCCUAUCAACAUUUUUAUCAAAUCUUCAUUCCAGUAGGUCGGAACUCCGUUGUUACGCUGAUGCUAUGGCUAGCUUGAGAAAUAACCUUCCUUUUAUUUGAGAACCCGUAGCUGAAACGUGUGGUAGAGCUAGUCUGCUCUUUUGUCUAAGGAAGAAAAGAAAUGCCCAAUGGAAAUAGAAAGGGGAAAACUAUUGGAAGAGCUGUUAAAAACAAACAGCUGUAUGUUUUCCCCCUCUACCUUUGAAAAAUUCAAUUAGUUCCAAGCAUGGAUUUAAUCUGACGAAGUUAAUGUCUAUUCAUUUCUUUGAUAUCAUUUCUUACAUCAUUCUGUGAAAUAGAUUUCCGCGUUCAGUUCAUUAUCCAAUCAUUACUUUUCUGAUUCAAAUAACCAGUCAGCCUGCAGGGUACAAGCCCUGCUUUCAACAGUUGAAGUUGAUCAUAUUGGCCAAUACUGAGGUAGACAGACUGGGAUUCCCCUCUUUAAGGAAUUCAGGACAUCGUGAAAGCCACAAAGCGACUCCUUCACAACACUGAUACAGAUGGCAUGACUGGUGUGUUCAGCUGACUCUUGUCUGAGAGUGUUUGCAGGGUUGUAAACCAGCAGUAUCCUCCCUGUUUGGUCUGUGUUUGCACUGGCUUAGCCAACAUCAGAAUCUGCUCCAGGGAUAACAAAGGUAGCAGAGGUGGGGUUCUUUGGGGCUUGUUAGGCCGCUUUCCUGUAUUGGAUGUAGUGUUUGUUAGCAGAUUAGAACUGAACCUUGGGUAUCAUAAAUGAGUUGGCCGUGAGCCCCUGUGGGCAAGAAGUCCAGUGGUAUCCUGGGGUGCAUGAAAAAGAGAGCAGUCAGGCUCUUCUUGGUGGUGUGUAGCAAUAGAACAAGGAGUAAUGGCCUAAAACUUGAACGUAGGAAGUUCUGCACAAACAUGUGGAAGAACUUCCUUGUGGUAAGGAUGACAGAGCACUGGAACAGGCUGCCCGGAGAGGCUGUGGAGUCUCUUUCUAUGGAGAUAUACAAGACCUAUCUGUUCGCCAACCUGUGUGACCUAUUGUAGGGGACCUGCCUCAGCAGGGGGUUGGACUCAAUGAUCUCCUGAGGUCUGUUCCAACCCCUGUGAUUCUCCUUUAUGAGGGCUCAUGUUUUUUAAUUUAAUAAAUAUGAAAUAUUGUUCCUUGUUCGAAAGCUCACCUGUCAGGUUACACUCUUGUAAUUCCACUGCUUUAUAAUUGCAGUAUUCUUUCAGUAAGGUUCUUCUAUAUAAAAACAAGCUUGGGAAGAAAAGAGAAUAUCAUUUGAAGCCUCCUUUAAAUAUCCUGAGGAUUAAAUGUCCCUUUUGUGUUUAUAGUAACACUUUCUAUAGCGUGUGAAUGAGUAUUUUGGGGUAUUUGUUCUCAGCGCAGUGAAUGAACAAAAUGGUCCUCUUGAUUCUGUGAACAGAAGAAGUCUUUUUUUGUGUGUAACCUUGGCAGCAGACGUAAGUAUGCUCAUGGAUGAAGGAAAGACAAAUGAUUAUGGAAGCUAGAGACUGGGAGAGGACUUAGGAGAUAUAUCACAACGUGUUUAUUCUGCCCUUAACAUUCUUCCCUCUAUGCUAAGUAUAUUAGAAGCGUUGUCUGGAUCGUGGAAAACAAGGUUUAUUCACAAAAGCCACACAGUGUGUGAUCCUGGUGCCCCAGAGCACAGACCACAUCCACAUCAGUCAGUGUUCUUCUUACCACGCUCAGUGUAAGUCCCAGCAUCUCAGAUCACCUUUUCCAGUAACGCUUUUGGCAUUCCUUGUGUCUCCCUGUAGAUCAAGCCAAAAGUAAGCUUUACACCACUACAGCAAGCCAAGCAAGGGACUGACAGCUUAGCAAUGCCUUGAACGUCGUCACAUGCAACUUGCAGUGGCAAAGUGGUACUUAACAACUCUAUUUUCAUAGUACCUUGCUGCGUCUCUGUGGGUCAUUCAUAUCUAAUAAAAUAUACACACUGUUGGAGAUGGGAUUCUGAGCUCAGCAGCCUUUCAGUGUGACCAACUACACUGUUCAUAUGUAGAUGUAACAGUUAUUUUAGGUGAGUCCGUUCUGCAAUGUAGACACUGGCUAGUCCAUUAUUGUGAAGGAAACGGAAUGGACAGAGCAUUUAAUUGAUUAAUUACCCUAUGUUCAAAAUGCAGUCAGAUCAGGGUGAGAAUGAAGCCAGUAGGGAAAAAUGAUGGCUCUUUCAAAAAGUAUAAAGAAUAUUGUCAGUUUAACAUAGUAAGUGCUGCUUAAGAGUAUUUCCCAGAUCACAGUAGAGAUUUUUACUCUUUGCUCUCAUGCCCUGAAAUAUAACCUCAUCGUUCUGACCAAUAUGUGGCAGUCAUUUAGCAAUACGUCUGCUUGGGGAUGUUACUGGGGCUGUUAACAAAGUUAGCAAAAAGCUUGUCAUUUAACUUCUUGAAGCCAGGCUAAAGAUUUAGUGCCAAUGCAGGGGACAUCUGCUUUUUUUCUGGUCAAAAUGAAUAGACUGAAUUACAGAGACAAUAAAGAUGGAGUCUCAUGAUGCUAUUGUACACUGCUUUGCUUUUCAUUUUGAAGAGAACUCACAAGUAAUGGACAAAAUCAAAUGAAUCACCCCCUAUAUUUCAGCCAUCUUGUCUCAGCAAAUGGGCAGCAGUCAACAAGGAGAAGCAGGAACUUCAGAAAAUGAUUUGUUCUAUUUAUUUUAGAUACCCAUUUCAGGAUAGAGGAACUCAUCCCUCAGAAGGAGGAAGGCAUACAUACUGUCUCGUAUGUGCAGCUGUCUUGCUUAGCUUCUAAAUGAAUUCUACUCUAACUAGCCUACCUAACCUGUUUUUGCUACUGGAAUCAGAUGGAAAUACAGUCAGUAUUUGCAAAUGCAAAGCUCCACAGAAAUAGAAUGUAUCAUUCUAUAUUUCACCCUGCUUCACAGAGAGCCAGGGAAGGCUUUUUUUCAUCUACCCACUGAGAACAAAGUGCUGAUUUGGCUCUAUGGUUCUUGGAAACUGUCUUUGCUCUGCUAUUUCCUGUUACAUUCUCAAGCUGCGUAUUUUAGAUGUGAAUGAGGACCAACCCCCCAUCUCUUUUUGCUUGUAGCAGUAUGACAUGAUGCCUUGGACAGAUGUAGAUGGGUGUUUCUUGCCAGUAAAAAAAAAAAAAAAAAAGAAGUGGAAAAUGAAAGCACGGCAGAAAGUUUAGUUCUGGGGGUUCACUCCUCACUGUGUAUGGUAAACCAUGGCAACACCUUCAGUAGUGCUGACCUUGCCUGACAUGCUCUGCAGAGGCUGCACACCAAUUCCCAUCCCCUGGGAAGACCUUUGACGCUUUGCAGGAUUGUUAUUUGUUUCAUCCUCAGACACACGUUACACUGGCAGACCAAGGCAGCGAGUGCUUGCUUUGGUAGCAUUGGCAGGGGCUCUGAGCAUCUCCUUUCACAGCUCUGUGCUGCAGCCUGACAUCGUGAAGCUGCCUGCAGGCCAGGCAGACAUUUCCAAACAGCAUUCCUGGCAGCACAAACAGACAAUUAAAUUUAAAGACGAGGCAUUGCCACCAUUCAUUUGAAUGACUGUGGUGCUUCAGCAUAUUGCUAGUGUUUGUUGACAUAUGUAAUUUAUAGAAUUUGGUUUGUGUGUGGUGGGAAGAGGAAAUAUAUCAGUGCGGUGAUCUGACACCUCGUCUACGUUGGUGGCCUUAUUUCAUACCUUUUUGCAUGCCAAAUGGAAUGAAGUGCUCUCAGAAUCUGUAGAUGACCUGGCAGGAGCUGAAUGAGUGUCCUUAAAACCAUUUGUACUGUUGUACCUUUGUGUUUUCUGUUUUGUGACCUUGGCAGACCAGUGAUUGGGAAAGCUGCUCACACACCAUCUGCACCUGCUACUUUUGCCGUGCAGCAAGUGGUCAUUUCCUUUCCAAACAUGACUGGCUUCUGAUAGCAGUGGGAAAUUGGCAGCUCUUGUAUGAAAGCAGUAGAUUCCAGUUUCUUCUUUCGGCUUUUCACUGAGAUAGAACAGGAGUUGUUAUGGUUAUGUCCCCAGUGCUCUGUGUCACAGCUUUCUUUUCUACAUAACUGCCUUUUCAAUCAUUAAGUACAAUCAGUAUAUGGAAUCACAUCUUGUAUUGUAUAAUACCAUAUUACCCUGAGAUCUUUUUUUUUUUCCAGUAUCAUCUUAAUUCUAAACAGAGAUGCACAACCGACAGUGAAAAUGUUUCCCUUUUGUCUCGUGGCCUUUCUUUCUCAUUUCCAUGAGAAGAAGAGAGUGCAGAAUAAAGUUGCUCUCUUGACUUCCGUGGUCUGGCUAAAGAAACAACAUAGCAGGAGUGAGCUGUGCUUUUCUCCUUAUUUCUCUGGCACAUUGAAAAGAUGAGGUGUAGGAGUGUUCAUUGCUCUUCUAAUUCUCUCCUCCAGAGGGGAUGGAAGCUGUUGCAAUUCUUCCUUAUGAGGGUCCUUAAAAUCAGCAGGUAAGGAAGUACUGUGUUGAGCAGCACGCAGGCAAUCCCCCCAUCUCCAGCCUCAAGGAUCACCCCUGCAGAGAGCUGGGAAGGAGCUGUGCAGCUGGCAGAGAGCGCCAGGAGGUGGUGAAUUUAGUUUCUACUCUUAACAGCAUGAAACAGCUGCAUUGGCUUUACGUGUGGUUCGAAGAUUUGCCCUCUCUGAAAGUUAGGGCAAGUUGUUUGUGGCAUACAGUGUGCGCCUUAACAAAUGUGCAGUCUUUUUCUUCCUGUCAGCAACUGGAGAUGGUGAUAGGAUCACAUGUUUUUGCCCACGCUUUCAUGUAGCCUUGUUAAUGAAACAGGUAAUCCUGUUUGUCUUAAAAUCAAGGCAAACAUCUCUCAUGUUCUGUCCAUCUGUUCCAGACACUAACAGCACGCUCAUCACCAUGGUAUUGGAACAGUCUGGUACACAAAUAGCAAUCAGCAGCUAUUAGCAUAAUAUUAUUACUAGAUCCAUAAAGCUAAUAUUGGCAGAGAUAGGAGGUGUCGCACGUUGUGAGCUAGUUUCUCAGCACAUGUACCGUGUUCUGCCAGAAUGUGAUAAUAUUCUGUAUAAAAAUCAGUAGAAGGAUGCAAUUUUUAAUUAUUUCAUGCAAGCAGCAUAAAUUGUCCAUAUAAUACAAGUCAAUGAUUUCUUCUUGCAUUCAGUAAUUGGCAAUCCAUUGCUGUCUCGUAGUAAAACAGCAUUCUUUAGAAAGCUAAGUGUAUAAACAGGAGGGGGGGAACGGCUGUUUGUGAGGGUGGAUAGUGAUAGGACAAGGGGGAAUGGCUUUAAACUGAGACAGGGGAGGUUUAGCUUGGAUAUUAGGAGGAAGGUUUUCACCCAGAGGGUGGUGACGCACUGAACGGGUUGCCCAAGGAGGCUGUGGAUGCCCCAUCCUUGCAGACAUUCAAGGCCAGGCUGGAUGUGGCUCUGGGCAGCCUGGUCUGCUGGUUGGCGACCCUGCACAUAGCAGGGGGGUUGGAACUCAGUGAUCACUGUGGCCCUUUUCAACCCAGGCCAUUCUAUGAUUCUAUGAUAUUAAAUCAAACACUGAAAACUCCUUUUUUCCAUCCUCCUACCCCCCGGUCAUUGAUGCAGGCUGAUACAGGAGCGAAUCUUUGCAUGCAGGAGGUCACUCAUCCCAAAUGUCCAGCACAUGAGACAAGGUGUACUCAGCAUGAGAUCUUCUGGAGUACUGCUGGAGAGGUGGCACAUCACUGCAGCUUGCCAGAUAACUGUCACGCUGUGUCUGCACACACUCCCAGUGCUUUCUGAAAGGAGUGAAAAUUGCUUUCUGCUUUGCCGGCCCACAGAAAGAACACAGAUCUUUCAGAUCCAACAUUUUCAGACCUCAGACCUCAAACCUUUCAGAUUACAAGGGAAGCAGAUUGCAGAUCCCUCCAAAAGAUCCCGACUGCCCCAUAAAACGCAGCCAUUCUCUUCCUGUCCUUACACCCCUUCACUAAUCUAAUUUACACACAUUCAGAAGCCCAGCUUCAGAUGUGUCCUUUUCAUUUGGUCUCUUUUCCUAUGAUGUAAUAUAAGAUUUAUUUUGGAGUUGAACAGCCACACUUUUUCAAUCUCUGGUAUAUAAAUUGCUAGUUAAAAGAAGUGGAUUCCUCUCAGGUGGCAGAUUUUUGCAGGUCUGCUUCAAUGAAUGGCUCGUGUAUAUGUGUGUAUAUAUAUAUGUAUGUUUCUUUCCUCUCUUAGUCAGAAUUUGUUCCUGGGAGACCUAUUUUGCAAGCUUGUCUGCUGAAACUUCUGUAGAGAAGAAAGCAGACGGAGCCUUUUCAGAUUGCAGCUUCCCAGUUGCUGUGUUGAAAGCAUGAAGCAAAAGUGAAACCGAGGUAUUACAGUUCUUAGUUCUCAUAAACGGCUUUUCCUUGCUUUGCUCUGCAGCAAAUUCCAGCUGAGCUAACAUUUCUGUUAGCAUGACAAUGCCCAUACGUGCACUGCUGUAAUGAGAGGGAGCAUCUGUGUCUGAGCUGGUUGUGAUUGUGUUGAAAAGAGACAGAUUGUCAUCGUGUGUCAGUCCUUACUCUUCCACUGAACAUGAAACUUCCUUGGUCGUGCUGUUGGUUCAGUCUCCAGUCUCCAUUUUCAUAUCA